This 958-nucleotide long non-coding RNA is filed under the name Cercocebus atys (sooty mangabey). RNAcentral's name for it is "lncRNA (ENSCATG00000045429.1)". Lineage: Eukaryota; Metazoa; Chordata; Mammalia; Primates; Cercopithecidae. The record is from RNAcentral.
UUUCUUUGGUCCACUCUGUCUUUUUUCUUUUUUUUUGAGACUCAGUCUCGCUCUGUCGCCAGGCUGGAAUGAAGUGGCAUGAUCUCAUCUCACUGCAACCUCCGCCUCCUGGGUUCAAGCAAUUCUUGUGCCUCAGCCUCCUGAGUAGCUGGAAUUACAGACAUGUGCCACUACACCCAGCUAAUGUUUUUAGUUUUAGUAGAGAUGGGGUUUUACCAUGUUUGGUGAAACACCAGGAUGUUUCACUAGGAGAUCAUCAGGAUGGUCUCGAUCUCCUGACCUCGUAAUCCACCCAGCUUGGCCUCCCAAAGUGCUGGGAUUACAGGUGUGAGCCACUGUGCCUGGCCUUUUUUUUUUCUGAGCCAGAGAACUUCCUAGGAGACUCAUUAGAGUAAUUGCAUUGAGAUAAUAAAGUGAACAACUGUGACUAGUGAAUCAGACUGCAGCCUGCAUUGUGCAGUGUCUGUAUUUCCUUAGCUCCUCAAGUGUGCCAGGAUCUCCAGAUCUAAUCCCAAGAUCUGUGAUUCUGUCUGCACUGAACCAUCCAAGGUGCUGGAGUGUGCCACAGAGAAAGAUCGUGUCGUGCAGAAUGCUUUUUAACUUUACACAUUGGUGGGAACCAGGAGUGGACUUUCUUUUGGCCGGCAAUGUGACAAGUGUCAUGUGGAGAGCUGAAGCCACUGACAACAUAUUGCAGAUUUACUUCCCUGUUGGUUUAGUUCCCCUUUCUGAUAAAUUGGCAGCUGUAGUAGCUGGCCCACUCCUUCAUCUGAUUUUGGAUGGGGUUUGGGCUCAAUAUGGAAUCGGUUUGCUGUCAGUAUUGCUGAGGAUACAAAAGGAGGUCUCUUCAAGGUGGACUCUGAUCCUUCUGAGGUCCUGGAUCAGAUUAACCAACGUAGGUAUGCCCCGCACCUUUCACUCAUUACCACCCCUCAAAAGGUCACUUUGCCAAACAUGA